UUCAGGAUGGCCGAGUGGUUAAGGCGUUGGACUUAAGUUCCAAUGUACGAAUGUACGCGUGGGUUCGAACCCCACUCCUGGUA
Molecule: transfer RNA, 83 nt
Filed under: Nematostella vectensis (starlet sea anemone)
Lineage: Eukaryota; Metazoa; Cnidaria; Anthozoa; Actiniaria; Edwardsiidae
Rfam family: tRNA
About the family: Transfer RNA (tRNA) molecules are approximately 80 nucleotides in length. Their secondary structure includes four short double-helical elements and three loops (D, anti-codon, and T loops). Further hydrogen bonds mediate the characteristic L-shaped molecular structure. tRNAs have two regions of fundamental functional importance: the anti-codon, which is responsible for specific mRNA codon recognition, and the 3' end, to which the tRNAs corresponding amino acid is attached (by aminoacyl-tRNA synthetases). tRNAs cope with the degeneracy of the genetic code in two manners: having more than one tRNA (with a specific anti-codon) for a particular amino acid; and 'wobble' base-pairing, i.e. permitting non-standard base-pairing at the 3rd anti-codon position.
Source: Rfam by way of RNAcentral